RNAcentral lists this transfer RNA (72 nucleotides) under Sus scrofa (pig). It matches the Rfam family "tRNA". Rfam says of the family: Transfer RNA (tRNA) molecules are approximately 80 nucleotides in length. Their secondary structure includes four short double-helical elements and three loops (D, anti-codon, and T loops). Lineage: Eukaryota; Metazoa; Chordata; Mammalia; Artiodactyla; Suidae. The record is from Rfam by way of RNAcentral.
UCUCUGGUGGUCUAGUGGUUAGGAUUCAGCCCUUUUACCGCUGUGGCUCAGGUUCAAUCCCUGGUCUGGGAA